Molecule: long non-coding RNA, 1175 nt
Filed under: Actinidia chinensis (golden kiwifruit)
Lineage: Eukaryota; Viridiplantae; Streptophyta; Magnoliopsida; Ericales; Actinidiaceae
Description: long non-coding RNA (ACHI_LNC008260)
Source: RNAcentral
UUUUUAACAAUUGAAGUUGUCUACUCGCAAAGAAGAAUUCAUUUCAUACAUAAUUCAACUAUUUUGGUAACCGGAACUCACCAAAAAAUUGAGUCCAAAUCAAAUUAAACUUAACUUUUUCCAAAAUAUUCAAUUGGUAUUUUCUCAAUACAUUCCCCAAACAUCACAAAAAAAACAGUGUGAAAAAGAAAAAAGAAGGAUGGGAGUAGAAGUGUCCGGCGAAGUCAGCGCAGCAUUAGCAAGCACAACAGCGACCUGAUUAGCUUCCCGGUAAAUAGGAUGCACAUGAACAGUCCAGUCAGAAUCCAGCAGCGACCUGCAAUCAUGAAGAAUGGGUAAAAUCCAAGGGGAACUACUCGACAAAGUAGUUAACAGUGUGUAAACUGCUUUGUAAUAAACUUCCACAUAAAGUGUACGGAUGCCCAAAGUAUGAGCAAGGCCAAGGCCUGAACGAAGAUCCCAAAACUCAGCCACAAAACAAGUCGUAAUACCUAACUGUUAAGAGAAUCCCAUAAUCCACUUGCCCUGGCUAUCACUAAUAACACGACCCUCGCCCGCAGCACCUGGUUGACCCAAAGAACUCCCAUCCGUAUUGAGCUUGAAAGCAUUAACGGAGGCGGAAUCCAAGAAAUAAACCGGGUUUGGAAACAGCGGACACUUGAAGAACGUUGGACACAGUACUGAAAUUCUAGUGUUAAAGAGCGAAUCCAUUGCAGCUGGGUAGAAGUAGAAAGAACUUGGGAGGAAAAAUGUACCCGAUUACGGGCCAAUCAGAUUGUCCAGGCAGUAUUUAAUUUGUAUGCCCUAUCAUUCUAUAUUUCAGCUCAGUAACAAGAUACUUACAUUGCCGGUCACGAGCUAUACCUUCGGCCCGUUUGGUUGAUCUGAUUAUUGAUGUGAGGAUGCGUAAUCCCAUCAUGUUUUGUAUAUGUCACGUUUUUUGGGAUUAGCUGUCCAAUGGAUAUUUAAUCUGUCCCCGCAAUUGUUGCGGUCUCAUAUCUGUGUGUUUCUGUGUAAGCACAUUGAUAGUCGUAGAUAAACUGCCUCCUGUUCAAAAAAAAAAAAACUAAAAUUUUCUUUUGUGGCAACGUCUCACUUGCCACAUGAUUGCCUGUAAAAGUUGAGCACAGAAUGGAGGCAUAAUGCUCUUAUUCAUGCCAGUUAGAAAAUUGAAC